Molecule: long non-coding RNA, 1157 nt
Organism: Drosophila miranda
Lineage: Eukaryota; Metazoa; Arthropoda; Insecta; Diptera; Drosophilidae
Exons: 3
Source: RefSeq, a predicted model, not a curated record
UUUUUUUUUGUAUUUUUCGAUGGUGUAUCGGCAUAAUUUGCUCAAAAUCGCUGCGCGGAGAUAUUUCACUUCUACGCGUCAUGGCUCCGCGCGGAGAUACAUAUGUAUGUAUGUCGGAGAUAUGACGCUUUCAAACGACAUUUGCCAACGCUUGUCCGGGUGGAGGCACUCUUAACCAUGUGUCUGGGACGGACUUAUCUCGUUAUUCGUUAUCUCGGACUCGUUAUCUGGACACUACUUUUUUCCAAAACUCUUAAAAAAUCUGCUCAAAAAUAGUCACAAAACAUUCCAUCACUAGGCGCAGCUGCCAUCCCUAGAUUUCCACAGCCCAGACAAAAGAACGGCAUACACACACACACACAUAUACAAAGUAACGGCAAGCAGAGGCCCGAACUUCGGGCACAACCAAAGCGUCGGAAUCCGAAAGCGGGCAGAGAGAGUGCCGACAGCGAAACACAUACAUAGGAGCAGCAAAAGAACCAUGCGGAUGUGCAUGUGCCAAAGCGAGAGGGAAGAGACAGAAGCGGCUCAGUAUCACCUCUGCCUCUGCUUCAAUUUCACGUGGCCCACGGACUAUAAAAUGGAGGCCACAUGCUGUCUUUUCCGCAUUUUGCCAAAAUUCGCCAUAGCGCAAUAUAUUAUCGCAUAUACAGUCAGCACAACAUUUAUUCGGACACUCGUCUAUAUCAACUUUCUUUAUAAAUAACUUGAAAAGUAUUUAAGUUUGAAAAAAAAUUUUUAUUUCAUUAUGAACAUGGAUAUUACUACUACUAAUUUCAAAUCUAAAAACAUAAAAAACCUUCUUUGGCAUAUCAAAAAAAAUUAAAAGUAUCAAAAAGGCUACUUUUUUACGCACAACAAUUAUUCGGACACUUUUUAUUUUGUACGAAAAAAACUUAUUGUCCCCAAUUUUUUCUGAUUUCAAUAUUUUGUGGGGCCGCCCUUAGCUUCAAUAACAGCUUUUAGACGUCGGGGCAUACUUUUUACCAAAUGAUUGGUUUCAUUGGGAUUAAUUUUCUCCCAUUCCGUCAUCAGAGCCGUUUUAAGGAUUUCCUUGGAGGAAAUUUUAUGUUUCCUAAUUUUUUUUUCUAGCAAAUCCCAAACAUGCUCUAUGGGGUUCAGAUCUGGUGACUGCGGCGGCGUUUUUAACUGCUUGC